GAAAAUUGGGAGGCAGGUCUGGGAGGCGGGGUUGAGCGCCCACCGUCUUGGGCGCGCCCGCGCCCCCCGCCAUCGCGGCCCCCGUGCCCCCGGCCCACACCCGCGCGGUCCCGGCACCGGCCUGCACCCCCAGGGUGCGCGGCGGCCCAUUUGGGUGCUGGAGAAUCUGGUAAAAGCACCAUUGUGAAGCAGAUGAGGAUCCUGCAUGUUAAUGGGUUUAAUGGAGAGGGCGGCGAAGAGGACCCGCAGGCUGCAAGGAGCAACAGCGAUGGUGAGAAGGCAACCAAAGUGCAGGACAUCAAAAACAACCUGAAAGAGGCGAUUGAAACCAUUGUGGCCGCCAUGAGCAACCUGGUGCCCCCCGUGGAGCUGGCCAACCCCGAGAACCAGUUCAGAGUGGACUACAUUCUGAGUGUGAUGAACGUGCCUGACUUUGACUUCCCUCCCGAAUUCUAUGAGCAUGCCAAGGCUCUGUGGGAGGAUGAAGGAGUGCGUGCCUGCUAUGAACGCUCCAACGAGUACCAGCUGAUUGACUGUGCCCAGUACUUCCUGGACAAGAUCGACGUGAUCAAGCAGGCUGACUACGUGCCGAGCGAUCAGGACCUGCUUCGCUGCCGUGUCCUGACUUCUGGAAUCUUUGAGACCAAGUUCCAGGUGGACAAAGUCAACUUCCACAUGUUUGACGUGGGUGGCCAGCGCGAUGAACGCCGCAAGUGGAUCCAGUGCUUCAACG
This 733-nucleotide small RNA is filed under the name Pan troglodytes (chimpanzee). RNAcentral's name for it is "processed transcript". Lineage: Eukaryota; Metazoa; Chordata; Mammalia; Primates; Hominidae. The record is from RNAcentral.